This 10074-nucleotide small RNA is filed under the name Pongo abelii (Sumatran orangutan). RNAcentral's name for it is "retained intron". Lineage: Eukaryota; Metazoa; Chordata; Mammalia; Primates; Hominidae. The record is from RNAcentral.
UCGCUUCGCCUUGCUGCUGGGAAACUGAACGAGGCCGAGAGAGAAGGUUCUUGAGUUCAUGUAAGAGGACAGUCUUAAAACGGAAGAAGAAAAAGAAGCAGUACAGUCUUUGGGAGAGCUGCCUCCUUGUUGAGUGCUGCAAAGGCCUGGAAUUCAUUUAUGACAGAAUAGAUCUAGAAAAGUCCAAGCAUGUUUUCUAGAGUGGUGUAGCCCUGUGCUGCCUCCAGUGAAGAGUCUCUUGGUGUUGGCUUCGUGCUUCCGGAGGGACCAUGGCAACCUCCAGAGGGGCCUCCCGGUGUCCUCGGGAUAUCGCCAAUGUGAUGCAGAGGCUGCAAGAUGAGCAAGAGAUAGUACAAAAACGAACUUUCACAAAAUGGAUCAACUCUCAUCUGGCCAAGCGGAAACCUCCAAUGGUGGUGGAUGAUCUUUUUGAAGACAUGAAAGAUGGUGUAAAACUGCUUGCCCUUCUGGAGGUCCUGUCUGGGCAGAAACUGCCUUGUGAACAAGGACGCCGGAUGAAGCGAAUCCAUGCUGUGGCUAACAUUGGCACGGCACUCAAGUUCCUCGAAGGAAGAAAGAUUAAAUUAGUCAACAUUAACUCCACCGAUAUAGCUGAUGGCCGACCCUCAAUAGUUCUUGGAUUGAUGUGGACCAUUAUUCUAUAUUUCCAGAUUGAAGAGUUGACCAGCAACCUGCCCCAGCUCCAGUCUUUGUCCAGCAGCGCAUCCUCCGUGGACAGCUUAGUUAGCUCUGAGACUCCCAGCCCACCAAGUAAACGGAAGGUGACCACCAAGAUCCAAGGAAAUGCCAAGAAGGCUUUAUUAAAGUGGGUUCAGUACACGGCUGGCAAGCAGACUGGAAUAGAAGUAAAAGAUUUUGGGAAGAGUUGGAGAAGCGGAGUUGCCUUUCAUUCAGUUAUUCAUGCCAUUCGACCCGAACUGGUGGACUUGGAGAAAGUGAAAGGCAGACCCAACCGAGAAAAUCUGGAGGAUGCUUUCACUAUCGCCGAAACGGAACUGGGGAUCCCAAGACUGCUAGAUCCUGAAGAUGUUGACGUGGAUAAACCAGAUGAGAAGUCUAUUAUGACCUAUGUAGCCCAGUUUCUGAAACAUUAUCCUGACAUCCACAAUGCAGGCACUGAUGGGCAAGAGGAUGAUAGAGAAGACAGGCUAAUUUUUAAGGAAAUGAAAGUUUGGAUAGAACAAUUUGAGAGAGAUUUGACAAGAGCACAGAUGGUGGAAUCAAAUUUACAGGAUAAAUAUCAGUCAUUUAAGCACUUCAGAGUUCAAUACGAAAUGAAGAGGAAACAGAUUGAACAUUUAAUACAACCAUUACAUAGAGACGGUAAAUUGUCACUUGACCAAGCAUUGGUAAAACAAUCUUGGGAUAGAGUGACCUCCAGGCUCUUUGACUGGCAUAUACAGCUUGAUAAAUCUCUUCCUGCACCUCUGGGCACCAUAGGUGCCUGGCUGUACAGAGCAGAGGUGGCCCUGAGAGAGGAAAUAACCAUUCAACAGGUCCACGAGGAAACAGCAAACACGAUACAACGGAAACUUGAGCAACAUAAGGAUCUGCUUCAAAACACAGAUGCCCACAAAAGAGCAUUCCAUGAAAUCUACCGGACCAGGUCUGUUAACGGGAUUCCAGUGCCACCUGAUCAAUUAGAGGACAUGGCCGAGAGGUUUCAUUUUGUUUCCUCCACAUCAGAGCUACACCUAAUGAAAAUGGAAUUUUUAGAAUUAAAGUACCGUCUGCUCUCACUGCUGGUUCUUGCAGAGUCAAAGCUGAAGUCUUGGAUCAUUAAGUACGGGAGGAGAGAGUCAGUGGAGCAGCUUCUACAAAACUACGUGUCUUUUAUAGAAAAUAGCAAGUUCUUUGAACAAUAUGAAGUGACAUACCAGAUCUUGAAACAGACAGCUGAGAUGUAUGUCAAAGCAGAUGGUUCAGUGGAAGAAGCUGAGAAUGUGAUGAAAUUCAUGAAUGAAACCACCGCUCAGUGGAGGAAUCUCUCAGUAGAAGUUAGGAGUGUGAGGAGCAUGCUGGAAGAAGUGAUCUCUAACUGGGAUCGCUAUGGCAAUACAGUGGCUAGUCUGCAAGCCUGGCUAGAGGAUGCUGAAAAAAUGCUCAAUCAAUCAGAAAAUGCCAAAAAGGAUUUUUUUCGAAAUUUACCUCAUUGGAUUCAGCAGCAUACUGCCAUGAACGAUGCUGGCAAUUUUCUAAUUGAAACCUGUGAUGAGAUGGUUUCCCGUGACCUGAAGCAGCAAUUACUGUUGCUAAAUGGGCGGUGGAGGGAGUUGUUUAUGGAAGUCAAGCAAUAUGCUCAAGCUGAUGAGAUGGACAGAAUGAAGAAGGAAUACACAGACUGUGUUGUUACCCUGUCUGCUUUUGCAACGGAAGCCCAUAAGAAAAUUUCUGAACCCUUAGAAGUCUCUUUUAUGAAUGUCAAGUUAUUAAUUCAAGACUUGGAGGAUAUUGAGCAGAGGGUGCCUGUGAUGGAUGCCCAAUACAAGAUAAUUACCAAGACAGCACACCUCAUUACCAAAGAAAGCCCCCAAGAAGAAGGAAAAGAAAUGUUUGCAACCAUGUCAAAGCUCAAAGAGCAGCUAACCAAGGUCAAAGAAUGUUACUCCCCACUCCUUUAUGAGUCUCAGCAGCUGUUGAUUCCGUUGGAGGAAUUAGAAAAGCAGAUGACGUCCUUUUAUGACUCACUUGGGAAAAUCGAUGAAAUUAUCACAGUUCUUGAGCGUGAGGCACAAUCGAGUGCUCUUUUUAAACAAAAACAUCAGGAACUGUUAGCUUGUCAAGAAAACUGUAAGAAAACCUUGACACUUAUUGAGAAAGGCAGUCAAAGUGUUCAAAAGUUUGUGACCUUGAGCAACGUGUUAAAGCAUUUUGAUCAGACGAGGCUACAAAGACAGAUUGCAGAUGUUCAUGUUGCUUUUCAGAGUAUGGUAAAGAAAACUGGAGAUUGGAAGAAGCAUGUGGAAACCAACAGUCGCUUGAUGAAGAAGUUUGAGGAGUCUCGAGCAGAGUUGGAGAAGGUACUGCGGAUUGCUCAGGAGGGCCUGGAGGAAAAGGGGGAUCCGGAGGAGCUCCUGCGGAGACACACUGAGUUUUUCAGUCAGCUGGAUCAGAGGGUGCUCAAUGCUUUCCUGAAAGCUUGUGAUGAACUCACCGACAUCCUUCCAGAGCAGGAGCAGCAGGGGCUGCAGGAAGCUGUUCGAAAGCUCCACAAACAGUGGAAGGAUCUUCAAGGAGAAGCCCCUUAUCAUUUGCUUCAUCUGAAGAUUGAUGUGGAGAAGAAUAGGUUCUUAGCCUCUGUAGAAGAAUGCAGAACUGAGCUGGAUCGAGAGACCAAGCUGAUGCCCCAGGAAGGCAGUGAAAAGAUAAUUAAAGAGCACAGGGUUUUCUUCAGUGACAAAGGUCCUCAUCAUCUCUGUGAGAAAAGGUUACAGCUCAUCGAGGAACUCUGCGUGAAACUCCCAGUCCGGGACCCAGUAAGGGACACACCUGGAACCUGUCACACGACACUCAAAGAGCUCAAAGCUGCCAUUGACAGCACCUACAGGAAGCUCAUGGAAGACCCAGACAAGUGGAAGGACUACACUAGCAGAUUCUCUGAGUUCUCAUCUUGGAUAUCUACAAAUGAGACACAAUUAAAGGGGAUCAAGGGUGAGGCCAUCGAUACUGCCAGCCAUGGAGAGGUUAAACGUGCCGUUGAAGAGAUCAGAAAUGGCGUUACCAAAAGGGGCGAGACCCUCAGCUGGCUGAAAUCCAGGCUGAAAGUUUUGACAGAAGUUUCUUCUGAAAAUGAAGCCCAAAAGCAAGGAGAUGAGCUGGCAAAAUUAUCCAGCUCUUUCAAGGCUCUUGUGACGCUGCUGUCAGAGGUUGAAAAGAUGCUAAGCAAUUUUGGGGACUGUGUCCAGUACAAAGAAAUAGUCAAAAAUUCUCUUGAAGAAUUAAUUUCUGGCUCUAAAGAAGUCCAGGAACAAGCUGAGAAGAUCUUGGAUACUGAAAAUCUGUUUGAAGCACAGCAGUUACUUCUUCAUCACCAGCAAAAGACAAAGCGGAUCUCAGCAAAGAAGAGAGAUGUGCAGCAGCAGAUCGCGCAGGCGCAGCAGGGAGAAGGGGGGCUGCCUGACCGAGGCCGCGAGGAGCUGCGGAAGCUGGAGAGCACGCUGGAUGGCCUGGAGCGCAGCCGGGAGAGGCAGGAGCGCCGCAUCCAGGUCACAUUAAGAAAAUGGGAGCGAUUUGAAACAAACAAAGAAACAGUAGUAAGAUACCUUUUUCAAACAGGUUCCAGUCAUGAACGCUUCUUGAGUUUUAGCAGUUUGGAAAGUUUAUCUUCAGAACUGGAACAAACAAAGGAGUUUUCUAAACGGACAGAAAGUAUUGCAGUCCAGGCUGAGAACCUUGUAAAGGAAGCUUCAGAGAUACCGCUUGGGCCCCAAAAUAAGCAGCUGCUUCAACAGCAGGCCAAGUCAAUCAAAGAACAAGUCAAAAAAUUAGAAGACACGCUUGAAGAAGAUAUUAAAACCAUGGAAAUGGUGAAAACCAAGUGGGAUCAUUUUGGCAGUAAUUUUGAGACUCUGUCCGUCUGGAUAACUGAGAAAGAAAAAGAACUCAAUGCCUUGGAAACUUCGUCAUCUGCCAUGGACAUGCAAAUCAGCCAAAUUAAGGUCACAAUUCAGGAAAUAGAAAGUAAGCUCAGCAGCAUUGUAGGAUUAGAAGAAGAAGCCCAGUCUUUUGCUCAAUUUGUUACCACUGGAGAAUCUGCUCGAAUUAAAGCCAAGUUGACACAAAUAAGAAGAUACUGGGAAGAGCUUCAAGAGCAUGCACAGUGUCUGGAAGGAACAAUCCUGGGACAUUUAUCUCAGCAGCAAAAGUUUGAGGAGAACCUUAGGAAGAUCCAGCAAUCUGUGUCUGAAUUUGAAGAUAAACUUGCUGUUCCAAUUAAAAUAUGUUCUUCAGCUACAGAAACAUACAAAGUUCUUCAAGAGCAUAUGGAUCUCUGCCAGGCCCUGGAGUCACUGAGCAGUGCCAUCACUGCCUUCUCAGCCAGUGCCAGGAAGGUUGUGAACAGAGACUCCUGUGUUCAGGAGGCUGCGGCUCUACAGCAGCAAUAUGAGGACAUCCUAAGGAGGGUGAAGGAGAGACAGACUGUACUGGAGAAUCUGCUGGCCCACUGGCAGAGGCUAGAGAAAGAACUAUCAUCCUUUUUGACCUGGUUAGAGCGGGGUGAAGCUAUAGCCAGUUCCCCAGAAAUGGGUAUUUCUGCAGACAGAGUCAAAGUGGAAGGUGAACUUCAGUUAAUACAGGCACUGCAAAAUGAAGUUGUAUCCCAGGCCUCAUUCUAUAGCAAACUUUUGCAAUUGAAGGAAUCAUUGUUCUCAGUAGCCUCCAAAGAUGAUGUGAAAAUGAUGAAACUACAUUUGGAGCAGUUGGAUGAGAGAUGGAGAGAUUUACCACAGAUCAUUAACAAAAGGAUUAAUUUUCUUCAGUCUGUGGUUGCUGAACACCAGCAAUUUGAUGAGCUGCUGCUUUCCUUUUCUGUCUGGAUUAAGCUGUUUCUCAGUGAAUUACAAACUACUUCUGAGAUUAGCGUAAUGGACCAUCAAGUAGCUCUUACUCGGCAUAAGGACCACGCAGCAGCAGUAGAGAGCAAAAAGGGCGAAUUGCAGAGUCUGCAGGGUCACUUAGCAAAGUUGGGUUCUCUGGGCCGUGCUGAGGACCUCCACCUCCUGCAGGGCAAGGCUGAGGACUGCUUCCAGCUGUUUGAGGAGGCCAGCCAGGUUGUGGAGAGGCGGCAGCUUGCCCUGUCUCAUUUGGCAGAAUUCCUCCAGAGCCAUGCCUCUCUGUCUGGCAUUCUCCACCAGCUGAGGCAAACAGUGGAAGCAACCAACAGUAUGAAUAAGAAUGAGUCUGAUUUGAUAGAAAAGGACCUCAAUGAUGCUCUUCAAGAUGCUAAAGCAUUAGAAUCUGCCGCCGUCAGUCUCGAUGGCAUUCUUUCCAAAGCCCAAUACCAUCUGAAAAUCGGGAGCUCUGAGCAAAGGACUUCCUGCAGAGCCACGGCUGAUCAGCUCUGUGGAGAGGUAGAGAGGAUCCAGAACCUUCUGGGAACCAAGCAGAGUGAGGCAGAUGCCCUGGCAGUGCUGAAAAAAGCAUUCCAAGACCAGAAAGAGGAGCUUCUGAAAAGCAUUGAGGACAUUGAAGAAAGGACUGACAAAGAGCGAUUGAAAGAACCUACCCGCCAAGCCCUUCAGCAGAGGUUAAGAGUGUUUAAUCAGCUAGAAGAUGAAUUGAAUUCUCAUGAGCAUGAACUAUGUUGGUUGAAAGACAAAGCCAAGCAAAUUGCCCAGAAAGACGUAGCUUUUGCACCUGAAGUUGACAGGGAGAUAAACCGCUUAGAGGUCACCUGGGAUGAUACCAAAAGACUAAUUCAUGAAAAUCAGGGUCAGUGCUGUGGACUUAUUGACUUAAUGAGAGAAUAUCAGAACCUGAAAUCAGCUGUAUCUAAAGUCUUAGAAAAUGCCAGCAGUGUGAUUGUAACCAGAACUACCAUAAAAGAUCAGGAGGAUCUUAAAUGGGCUUUUUCCAAGCAUGAAACUGCCAAGAACAAAAUGAAUUACAAACAGAAAGAUUUGGAUAACUUUACCAGCAAAGGAAAACACUUGUUAUCCGAGCUGAAAAAAAUUCACAGUAGUGAUUUCAGCUUGGUGAAAACAGACAUGGAGAGCACCGUGGACAAAUGGCUGGAUGUAUCAGAGAAACUUGAAGAAAACAUGGAUAGGCUGAGAGUAAGCCUGUCCAUUUGGGAUGAUGUACUCUCAAGUAGAGAUGAGAUUGAGGGAUGGUCAAACAACUCUGUUCCACAGAUGGCAGAAAACAUCAGCAACCUGGAUAACCGCCUCAGAGCUGAAGAACUGCUUAAAGAAUUUGAGUCUGAAGUUAAAAACAAAGCAUUGAGAUUGGAAGAACUGCAUUCCAAAGUUAAUGAUCUGAAAGAAUUAACUAAAAAUCUAGAAACACCACCAGACCUUCAGUUUAUAGAAGCAGACUUAAGGCAGAAACUGGAGCAUGCCAAAGAAAUAACUGAAGUAGCAAAAGGAACCCUGAAGGAUUUCACUGCUCAAAGUACGCAAGUGGAGAAGUUUAUUAAUGACAUAACAACAUGGCUCACAAAAGUGGAAGAAUCGUUGAUGAACUGUGCCCAAACUGAGACUUGUGAAGGAUUGAAAAAAGUCAAGGAUAUACAAAAAGAACUUCAAAGUCAACAAAGCAACAUCAGCUCCACCCAAGAAAAUCUCAACAGCUUGUGCCGCAAGUAUCACUCAGCUGAGUUGGAGAGCCUGGGCCGUGCAAUGACUGGUCUGAUAAAGAAACAUGAAGCCAUGAGCCAGUUGUGCUCCAAAACCCAGGCCAGCCUGCAGGAAUCUCUGGAAAAACACUUCAGUGAGUCUAUGCAGGAAUUCCAAGAAUGGUUUUUGGGAGCAAAGGCAGCAGCAAAAGAAUCAUCAGAUCGCACUGGUGACAGCAAAGUUCUAGAAGCAAAGCUCCAUGAUCUUCAGAACAUUUUGGACUCAGUCAGUGAUGGGCAGAGCAAACUUGAUGCGGUGACUCAAGAAGGACAAACUUUGUAUGCACAUUUGUCUAAACAAAUUGUCAGUAGCAUUCAGGAACAAAUCACAAAGGCCAACGAAGAGUUUCAAGCAUUUCUGAAACAAUGCCUUAAAGAUAAGCAGGCUCUUCAAGACUGUGCUUCAGAACUUGGAAGCUUUGAAGAUCAGCACAGAAAACUGAACUUAUGGAUCCAUGAAAUGGAAGAAAGGUUCAAUACAGAAAACUUGGGAGAGAGUAAACAGCACAUUCCUGAGAAGAAAAAUGAAGUUCAUAAAGUUGAAAUGUUUUUGGAAGAACUGCUGGCUGCAAGAGAGUCUCUUGAUAAGCUUUCCCAGAGAGGGCAGCUUCUGAGUGAAGAAGGCCACGGUGCUGGGCAGGAGGGCCGCCUGUGUUCCCAGCUCCUCACAAGCCACCAGAACCUACUUAGAAUGACCAAAGAGAAACUCCGGAGCUGCCAGGUGGCCCUUCAGGAGCACGAAGCCCUGGAGGAAGCACUGCAGAGCAUGUGGUCCUGGGUGAAGGCCAUUCAGGACAGACUGGCCUGUGCAGAGAGCACUCUUGGGAGCAAAGACACCCUGGAGAAACGGCUGUCACAAAUACAGGAUAUUCUCCUGAUGAAAGGUGAAGGGGAAGUUAAGUUGAAUAUGACCAUCGGCAAGGGGGAACAGGCCUUGAGAAGUAGCAACAAAGAAGGUCAGAGGGUGAUUCAGACUCAGUUAGAGACCCUUAAAGAAGUGUGGGCUGACAUCAUGAGCUCCUCCGUCCACGCUCAAAGCACUUUAGAGUCUGUGAUUAGCCAAUGGAAUGACUAUCUAGAGAGGAAGAACCAGUUGGAGCAGUGGAUGGAAUCAGUGGAUCAAAAAGUAGAACAUCCCUUACAACCGCAGCCAGGUCUGAAAGAGAAGUUCGCCCUGCUUGACCACCUCCAGUCCAUCCUGUCUGAGGCAGAAGAUCACACGAGAGCCCUUCACCGUCUAAUUGCAAAGUCCAGGGAGCUCUACGAAAAGACAGAGGAUGAGUCUUUCAAGGACACAGCUCAAGAGGAGCUGAAAACACAGUUUAAUGAUAUAAUGACUGUUGCCAAGGAAAAAAUGAGGAAAGUGGAAGAGAUUGUGAAAGAUCAUCUAAUGUAUUUAGAUGCAGUCCAUGAGUUCACAGAUUGGCUCCAUUCAGCAAAGGAAGAACUUCACCGGUGGUCAGAUAUGUCUGGAGAUUCAUCAGCCACCCAGAAAAAGUUAUCAAAAAUUAAGGAGCUGAUAGAUUCCAGAGAGAUUGGUGCAAGCCGUCUCAGCAGAGUGGAGUCGCUGGCUCCCGAAGUGAAACAGAACACAACUGCCAGUGGGUGUGAGCUCAUGCACACGGAGAUGCAGGCCCUGCGUGCUGACUGGAAGCAGUGGGAAGACAGUGUAUUCCAAACGCAGAGCUGUUUGGAGAACCUGGUCAGCCAGAUGGCCCUUUCGGAGCAGGAAUUCUCAGGCCAAGUGGCUCAACUGGAGCAGGCCUUGGAAGAGUUCAGUGCCCUUCUGAAAACCUGGGCUCAGCAGUUAACCCUCCUGGAAGGCAAGAACACGGAUGAGGAGAUAGUGGAAUGCUGGCACAAAGGACAAGAGAUACUGGAUGCUUUGCAAAAAGCAGAGCCUAGAACAGAGGAUCUCAAGUCUCAGCUGAAUGAACUUUGUCGAUUUUCCAGAGACCUGAGUACCUACAGUGGAAAAGUUUCUGGCUUGAUUAAAGAGUAUAAUUGGUGAGCAUGAACCUUAUUGGUGUUCAAGAUAGUUUUAUACAAAUUAGAAGCUAGAAGUUUAUUUUAAGGUGUAAUUUCAAAAUAAUAUUAGUUCAGCAUUAAAUAUAUUACCAAGUGAGGUAAGUGCACAUUCUAAGAACUGGUGAUUCUAUCAAACAUGAUUUUCAUCAACUUUAUCGCUUUUUCCUGCCAUUAAAUUUUUGCAUCACCUUUUCAGUCUUUGUUUGCAAGCAUCCAAGGGCUGCCAGAAUAAAGAACAGAUUUUACAGCAAAGAUUUCGAAAGGCCUUCAGGGAUUUCCAGCAGUGGUUGGUUAAUGCAAAAAUCACUACCGCCAAGUGUUUUGAUAUACCUCAAAAUAUAAGUGAAGUUUCAACUAGUCUUCAGAAAAUACAGGUAAGGGUGUUAUCAAUUAAUUCUAGUAGCGGUGCUGAUGUGAACUAAAGUUACCUCUAAAUCAAGGGUCCCCAACUCCUGGGCCAAGGACUGGUACAGGUCCCUGGCCUGUUAGGAACCAGGCCGCACAGCAGGAGGUGAGCAGCAGGCCAAUGAGCAUUACUGCCUGAGCUCCGCCUCCUGUCAGAUCAGCGGUAGCAUUAGAUUCUCAUAGGAGCCUGAACCCCAUUGUGAACUGUGCACACAGAGGAACUAGGCUGUGUGCUCCUUCUAAGAAUCUAACUAAUGCCUGAUGAUCUGAGGUAGAACAAUUUC